This 388-nucleotide RNase P RNA is filed under the name Oceaniferula flava. Its description in RNAcentral is "RNase P RNA component class A". It matches the Rfam family "Bacterial RNase P class A". From Rfam's summary of the family: Ribonuclease P (RNase P) is a ubiquitous endoribonuclease, found in archaea, bacteria and eukarya as well as chloroplasts and mitochondria. Its best characterised activity is the generation of mature 5'-ends of tRNAs by cleaving the 5'-leader elements of precursor-tRNAs. Lineage: Bacteria; Pseudomonadati; Verrucomicrobiota; Verrucomicrobiia; Verrucomicrobiales; Verrucomicrobiaceae. The record is from RNAcentral.
GCCGCUCCCCGGACGAUCGCGGUGUCUCCUCGGAGGCAUCGAGGAAAGUCCGGACGCCACAGGGCAGCGCGCCUCGUGAAGAACGAGGGACGACCGAUGCAAGUCGGCCGGACGGAAAGUGCAGCAGAAAACAAACCGCCUGCUUCGGUAGGUAAGGGUGAAAAGGUGGGGUAAGAGCCCACCGCUCCAAGGGUAACCGAGGAGGCACGGUAAACCCCGCGCGGCGCAAGACAUAACAGGGGAAGGGUGCCCGCCCGAUCAGAAUCCCCGGGUAUUAGUCGCACCAUUCCGCAAGGAAGGUUCCUCGUUUCGGCGAGGAAAGAUAAAUGAUCGUACAGCUCCGCGAAAGCGGGGUGGACAGAAUCCGGCUUACAGGGGAGCGGCAUAU